GCCAGUAUGGUGUAGUGGUUUGAGCAUUAGACUAGGACUCUAGAGACCAGGGAUGAAAUCUCUGCUUAGCUA
This is a non-coding RNA of Phrynosoma platyrhinos (Desert horned lizard), 72 nucleotides long. NCBI's taxonomy places the organism in Eukaryota, Metazoa, Chordata, Lepidosauria, Squamata, Phrynosomatidae. The record is from the annotation of a GenBank genome assembly.